This 490-nucleotide ribosomal RNA is filed under the name uncultured bacterium. Its description in RNAcentral is "partial 16S ribosomal RNA". It matches the Rfam family "Bacterial small subunit ribosomal RNA", at positions 30 to 507 of the family's 1533-position model. The record is from RNAcentral.
AUUGAACGCUGGCGGCAGGCCUAACACAUGCAAGUCGAACGGUAACAGGAAGAAGCUUGCUUCUUUGCUGACGAGUGGCGGACGGGUGAGUAAUGUCUGGGAAACUGCCUGAUGGAGGGGGAUAACUACUGGAAACGGUAGCUAAUACCGCAUAACGUCGCAAGACCAAAGAGGGGGACCUUCGGGCCUCUUGCCAUCGGAUGUGCCCAGAUGGGAUUAGCUAGUAGGUGGGGUAACGGCUCACCUAGGCGACGAUCCCUAGCUGGUCUGAGAGGAUGACCAGCCACACUGGAACUGAGACACGGUCCAGACUCCUACGGGAGGCAGCAGUGGGGAAUAUUGCACAAUGGGCGCAAGCCUGAUGCAGCCAUGCCGCGUGUAUGAAGAAGGCCUUCGGGUUGUAAAGUACUUUCAGCGGGGAGGAAGGGAGUAAAGUUAAUUCCUUUGCUCAUUGACGUUACCCGCAGAAGAAGCACCGGCUAACUCCGUG